This 627-nucleotide ribosomal RNA is filed under the name uncultured Lewia. RNAcentral's name for it is "eukaryotic LSU rRNA". The stretch from base 249 to 402 matches the Rfam family "5.8S ribosomal RNA". Lineage: Eukaryota; Fungi; Ascomycota; Dothideomycetes; Pleosporales; Pleosporaceae. The record is from RNAcentral.
GGAAGUAAAAGUCGUAACAAGGUCUCCGUAGGUGAACCUGCGGAGGGAUCAUUACACAAUAACAAGGCGGGCUGGACACCCCCAGCCGGGCACUGCUUCACGGCGUGCGCGGCUGGGCCGGCCCUGCUGAAUUAUUCACCCGUGUCUUUUGCGUACUUCUUGUUUCCUGGGUGGGCUCGCCCGCCAUCAGGACCAACCACAAACCUUUUGCAAUAGCAAUCAGCGUCAGUAACAACGUAAUUAAUUACAACUUUCAACAACGGAUCUCUUGGUUCUGGCAUCGAUGAAGAACGCAGCGAAAUGCGAUACGUAGUGUGAAUUGCAGAAUUCAGUGAAUCAUCGAAUCUUUGAACGCACAUUGCGCCCUUUGGUAUUCCAAAGGGCAUGCCUGUUCGAGCGUCAUUUGUACCCUCAAGCUUUGCUUGGUGUUGGGCGUCUUUUGUCUCCAGUUCGCUGGAGACUUGCCUUAAAGUCAUUGGCAGCCGGCCUACUGGUUUCGGAGCGCAGCACAAGUCGCGCUCUUUGCCAGCCAAGGUCAGCGUCCAGCAAGCCUUUUUUUUCAACCUUUGACCUCGGAUCAGGUAGGGAUACCCGCUGAACUUAAGCAUAUCAAUAAGCGGAGGAAAG